This 1488-nucleotide ribosomal RNA is filed under the name uncultured bacterium. RNAcentral describes it as "bacterial SSU rRNA". It matches the Rfam family "Bacterial small subunit ribosomal RNA". The record is from RNAcentral.
AGAGUUUGAUCCUGGCUCAGGAUGAACGCUAGCGACAGGCCUAACACAUGCAAGUCGAGGGGCAGCACAAGGAGUAAUCUGAGGCGGCGACCGGCGCACGGGUGAGUAACACGUAUGCAACCUGGCUGUAAGAGGGGAAUAACCCGGAGAAAUCCGGACUAAUACCGCAUAAUACUUAGAAUCCGCAUGGAUUUUAAGUUAAACAUUUAUGGCUUACAGAUGGGCAUGCGUAUGAUUAGCUAGUUGGAGAGGUAACGGCUCCCCAAGGCAACGAUCAUUAGGGGUUCUGAGAGGAAGGUCCCCCACACUGGUACUGAGACACGGACCAGACUCCUACGGGAGGCAGCAGUGAGGAAUAUUGGUCAAUGGACGCAAGUCUGAACCAGCCAAGUCGCGUGAAGGAAGAAUGUCCUAUGGAUUGUAAACUUCUUUUGAAGGGGAAUAAAGUACGGUACGUGUACCGUUUUGUAUGUACCCUUCGAAUAAGGAUCGGCUAACUCCGUGCCAGCAGCCGCGGUAAUACGGAGGAUCCAAGCGUUAUCCGGAUUUAUUGGGUUUAAAGGGUGCGCAGGCGGGAUAAUAAGUCAGUGGUGAAAGUUUGCAGCUUAACUGUAAAAUUGCCGUUGAAACUGUUAUUCUUGAGUGCAGACAAGGUAGGCGGAAUGUAUUGUGUAGCGGUGAAAUGCUUAGAUAUAAUACAGAACCCCGAUUGCGAAGGCAGCUUACCGGACUGUAACUGACGCUCAGGCACGAAAGCGUGGGGAUCAAACAGGAUUAGAUACCCUGGUAGUCCACGCAGUAAACGAUGAAUACUAGCUGUUCGCGAUAUACAGCGAGUGGCACAGCGAAAGCGUUAAGUAUUCCACCUGGGGAGUACGUUCGCAAGAAUGAAACUCAAAGGAAUUGACGGGGGCCCGCACAAGCGGAGGAACAUGUGGUUUAAUUCGAUGAUACGCGAGGAACCUUACCCGGGCUUGAAAUGCAAUCGACGGUAGUGGAAACAUUACUUCCAGCAAUGGCGAUUGUGUAGGUGCUGCAUGGUUGUCGUCAGCUCGUGCCGUGAGGUGUCGGCUUAAGUGCCAUAACGAGCGCAACCCUUAUCGUUAGUUGCCAUCGGGUGAUGCCGGGAACUCUAGCGAGACUGCCACCGUAAGGUGUGAGGAAGGUGGGGAUGACGUCAAAUCAGCACGGCCCUUACGUCCGGGGCGACACACGUGUUACAAUGGGGGGUACAGAGGGCAGCUACCAGGCGACUGGAUGCGAAUCUCACAAAGCCUCUCUCAGUUCGGAUCGGAGUCUGCAACUCGACUCCGUGAAGCUGGAUUCGCUAGUAAUCGCGCAUCAGCCAUGGCGCGGUGAAUACGUUCCCGGGCCUUGUACACACCGCCCGUCAAGCCAUGGAAGCCGGGGGGACCUGAAGUACGUGACCAUCACAGGAGCGUCCUAGGGUAAAACCGGUAACUGGGGCUAAGUCGUAACAAGGUAACC